UACAGAGGGUGCGAACGUUGCUCGGAAUUACUGGGCGUAAAGCGCGUGUAGGCGGUCCGUUAAGUUGGUAGUGGAAUCCCAUGGCUCAACCAUGGAAGUGCUGCCAAAACUGGCGGGCUGGAGUGCCGGAGAGGGUGGCGGAAUUCCCAGUGUAGAGGUGAAAUUCGUAGAUAUUGGGAGGAACACCGGUGGCGAAGGCGGCCACCUGGACGGUAACUGACGCUAAGACGCGAAAGCGUGGGGAGCAAACAGG
This 253-nucleotide ribosomal RNA is filed under the name uncultured bacterium. RNAcentral's name for it is "partial 16S ribosomal RNA". It matches the Rfam family "Bacterial small subunit ribosomal RNA", at positions 524 to 776 of the family's 1533-position model. The record is from RNAcentral.